Molecule: long non-coding RNA, 1247 nt
Filed under: Carassius auratus (goldfish)
Lineage: Eukaryota; Metazoa; Chordata; Actinopteri; Cypriniformes; Cyprinidae
Description: lncRNA (ENSCARG00000061443.1)
Source: RNAcentral
GGAAAGAAAGAGGCUUCGGUGAUAAGCUAGAUUUAGAUAGUUCCUAGAAUUUUUAUCUUUAGAACACAGAUGAAAAUCUUCUAAUUCUAAUACACGACUAAACGCCUUUGUAUUUGUCUAUCCUCGCACCUGUUAACGGAGCCGUUUCUUCUGUCCCACAGGAUGGCAAACAAAUGUCAGUCCCGUGUCUCCUAUUGAGGAACUGAAAGAGGGGCCGUCCUACAAACGGCUUUCGCCCACCUGUAAGCUUGAGGCUAAUUAAACCAAUCUGUCAUUCGCCUAAAUACCCCAAAUACGACGAUUAGACUGUGUUUAAUACGCCUAGGAGCCCAAGAAUUGCUCAUAAGGAGGAGCGAGUGCUCCUCUCGGCGGACGUUGAAGCAAGCUCACCGGUCGCUCAGACCUCAAAUCGCUCGCCACCUGUUAGAAUGAGCUCGAGCCUCGACGCUCCGCGCGCCUGCCACUGUCCACGAGGAGAACGGGAUUGUAACGUGAGAGAUGAGGCAUACGAGCUGACCCUCGAGGCGGUGGGGUGGAUGGGUUUGAGUGGAGUCCCAUGCGCGGUGGGACGGUUCAGAUCCAGGAAGUGCACGCGUGCAGAUAGCCCAAAUCUACACAAAACAGAUGUGUGUCCCACAGAAAACAGUUUUCGACCGGAGAAUUUGGAGGCGACGCAAACCUGUUCAAAGCAUGCUUAAAGUCACCCCUAGAUGUCAGCUACUUUUUCUAAAAACUGAACAGUUCCAUGAAGGUCAUGAAGGUGAAUGUGCUAAGAGAUCAGUGUUUUCUUUAAUGUAUUUAAUGCUGCCUUCAAGUGCUAUUUGACAUUUAGAUGUUGCGAAAAAAUGAAUAAACUUGACAGUCACUACCGCAAUCGUUCUCCCCUCCACCGCAUGAACUGUUCAUGGAAUAGCCUACUUUAAAUACAAUAUAAGUUGCUUUUGAUCAAGAUAUAAGCCAAAUGUAUGAAUGUAAAUGAAAUGCCACUGUUAAAGGCCUGGAGCUCAUCCAAUAAUAAUAAAUGACUGACUGGAAAAGUCAUAGGGAAAAAAUGAUUAAAACAAGUAAACAUGUUAAUCAUUAAUAAAAAAUGUAGAACCUUGAUGACCAGAUGUUGUGAUGCAGCUAUUUUGUAAUUAAUUUGCAUAUACAUACAUGUGCCCUGAGGACAAUUGUUUUGAUAAUGAGAGGUUGCUUUUUCAUAUCGGAGACUCAGUGGAGCUCUUUAAGUACCAACAUAGUCUCAG